RNAcentral lists this ribosomal RNA (504 nucleotides) under uncultured bacterium. RNAcentral describes it as "partial 16S ribosomal RNA". It matches the Rfam family "Bacterial small subunit ribosomal RNA", at positions 29 to 523 of the family's 1533-position model. The record is from RNAcentral.
AUUGAACGCUGGCGGCAGGCCUAACACAUGCAAGUCGAGCGGUAGCACAGAGAGCUUGCUCUCGGGUGACGAGCGGCGGACGGGUGAGUAAUGUCUGGGAAACUGCCUGAUGGAGGGGGAUAACUACUGGAAACGGUAGCUAAUACCGCAUAAUGUCGCAAGACCAAGGUGGGGGACCUUCGGGCCUCAUGCCAUCAGAUGUGCCCAGAUGGGAUUAGCUAGUAGGUGGGGUAACGGCUCACCUAGGCGACGAUCCCUAGCUGGUCUGAGAGGAUGACCAGCCACAGGGGAACUGAGACAAGGUCCAGACUCCGACGGGAGGCAGUAGUGGAGAAUAUUGCACAAAGGGCGCAAGCCUGAUGGAGCCAUGCCGCGUGUGUGAAGAAGGCCGUCGGGUUGUAAAGCACUUUCAGCGGGGAGGAAGGCGUUAAGGUUAAUAACCUUGGCGAUUGACGUUACCCGCAGAAGAAGCACCGGCUAACUCCGUGCCAGCCGCCGCCGUAA